Molecule: ribosomal RNA, 497 nt
Filed under: uncultured bacterium
Lineage: Bacteria
Description: partial 16S ribosomal RNA
Rfam family: Bacterial small subunit ribosomal RNA
Source: RNAcentral
GAUGAACGCUGGCGGCGUGCCUAAUACAUGCAAGUCGAGCGAACAGACGAGGAGCUUGCUCCUCUGACGUUAGCGGCGGACGGGUGAGUAACACGUGGAUAACCUACCUAUAAGACUGGGAUAACUUCGGGAAACCGGAGCUAAUACCGGAUAAUAUAUUGAACCGCAUGGUUCAAUAGUGAAAGACGGUUUUGCUGUCACUUAUAGAUGGAUCCGCGCCGCAUUAGCUAGUUGGUAAGGUAACGGCUUACCAAGGCGACGAUGCGUAGCCGACCUGAGAGGGUGAUCGGCCACACUGGAACUGAGACACGGUCCAGACUCCUACGGGAGGCAGCAGUAGGGAAUCUUCCGCAAUGGGCGAAAGCCGGACGGAGCAACGCCGCGUGAGUGAUGAAGGUCUUCGGAUCGUAAAACUCUGUUAUUAGGGAAGAACAAAUGUGUAAGUAACUAUGCACGUCUUGACGGUACCUAAUCAGAAAGCCACGGCUAACUACGUG